Dreissena polymorpha is the source of this 1273-nucleotide long non-coding RNA. RefSeq lists it as uncharacterized. Lineage: Eukaryota; Metazoa; Mollusca; Bivalvia; Myida; Dreissenidae. The record is from RefSeq and is a predicted model, not a curated record. The transcript has 3 exons.
AAUAACCCUAUCCAUAGCAGUACUACAAGUCAUCAAUCGACACUCAUACAGUCAUCAACCAGUAAUGAAAAUAUACAAAAAUCCACAGAAUCCAAAGCCAUGGGCAUAGGAAUCGGCAUUUCAGUUGCAGUCAUUUGUAUAGUUGGGGCCACAAUUGCUAUAAUCGUUCUCAUGAAAAGACAAGUAUUACCUUGUUCGAAGACUACAUCGAAUUCUAAUACUGGCAAGCACACGUUUGACAAUGCACCUGAGCAAAGCUAUGAAGACCUGGUUGACAGAAAUGGACAAAAUGCCAACUACUCUGUACUGGGCAUAAGUAUUGAUUGUGCUGACGGCAAAGCUCGCAAUUAUAAUAUAGAAAGGGAUAAGGGUAUUGAACGUGAAACAAAUGACAAAUGCAAUUCUGACUACUAUAAUACCAGGGUUGCCCUUGAAAAUGUUGACUAAUAUUACACAAAUUAAACGUUUUUAAAAUUAAUUUAACAACCACGGAAAACAAGCAUGUUCCUAGUAUAAAAAGACGCAUUAAACAUACUAGUAUGGUGAUUUUAACAUACUCAUGUCUAUCGCCCAUAGUAUGUAUGGCCGAUGCAUAAGAUAAAUGACUUAACAUGUUUCCAAGAAUCUACAGUUAAGGCCUGAAUUCAAAGACUGCCAAUCUUAUAGUUUUAAGAGCAGUAUAGCGAUCGGUAAUAUCUAUGGAUACGAACUAGUGACCGAUUACCGUGUAAGUAAUAUGAUACGCUAAGAGUUCUUGCAAAAUGUAUGAUUAAAUGUAUGCAGUAUGUUUAAAUGAGCACUUUAAAUAAGAAUCACUGAAUGAAUAUUCUGUCGAAAAUUGUAUUUAAACGCAAAUUUAGAGUAACGGCAUGUCCCUUUUGUUUCUAGUUAUACCCAAUUUAAAGCUAAUGCCACGUGAAUACUAUAAGAACACAAACUGUGAUCGCGAUACGUGGUAUAUAUAUUAAUGACACGUGAAUACUAUUAGAACACAAACUGUGAUCGCGAUAAGUGGUAUAUAUAUAUUAAUGACACGUGAAUACUAUAAGAACACAAACUGUGAUCGCGAUAAGUGGUAUUGAUAUGUUUUGUAUUCGCGUAUUGCCAUCAUGUAUUUAGUACAUGAUCACACAGUAAAAUAUGCACACUGAUUUAUUGGCUUAUAUACCAGCUUUCAUCUUUCAAUUAUACCGUCUUCUACCACUGGUAUAUUGUUUUCUUAUUUACUACCUUUCAUUUUCAUAAAUAUACUGCUUAGUAUUUAAUGACAAAU